RNAcentral lists this transfer RNA (64 nucleotides) under Siphonaria gigas (giant false limpet). RNAcentral's name for it is "tRNA-Cys". Lineage: Eukaryota; Metazoa; Mollusca; Gastropoda; Siphonariida; Siphonariidae. The record is from RNAcentral.
CGAAAAGUAGUUUAAAGUAAAACGCCAAGUUGCAAGCUUGAAGUUGGCCAGGGGCCCUUUUCUU